Molecule: ribosomal RNA, 497 nt
Filed under: uncultured bacterium
Lineage: Bacteria
Description: partial 16S ribosomal RNA
Rfam family: Bacterial small subunit ribosomal RNA
Source: RNAcentral
GAUGAACGCUGGCGGCGUGCCUAAUACAUGCAAGUCGAGCGAACAGACGAGGAGCUUGCUCCUCUGACGUUAGCGGCGGACGGGUGAGUAACACGUGGAUAACCUACCUAUAAGACUGGGAUAACUUCGGGAAACCGGAGCUAAUACCGGAUAACAUGUUGAACCGCAUGGUUUAACAGUGAAAGACGGUCUUGCUGUCACUUAUAGAUGGAUCCGCGCCGCAUUAGCUAGUUGGUAAGGUAACGGCUUACCAAGGCAACGAUGCGUAGCCGACCUGAGAGGGUGAUCGGCCACACUGGAACUGAGACACGGUCCAGACUCCUACGGGAGGCAGCAGUAGGGAAAUUUCCGCAAUGGGCGAAAGCCUGACGGAGCAACGCCGCGUGAGUGAAGAAGGUCUUCGGAUCGUAAAACUCUGUUAUUAGGGAAGAACAAAUGUGUAAGUAACUAUGCACGUCUUGACGGUACCUAAUCAGAAAGCCACGGCUAACUACGUG